RNAcentral lists this ribosomal RNA (497 nucleotides) under uncultured bacterium. Its description in RNAcentral is "partial 16S ribosomal RNA". It matches the Rfam family "Bacterial small subunit ribosomal RNA", at positions 28 to 507 of the family's 1533-position model. The record is from RNAcentral.
GAUGAACGCUGGCGGCGUGCCUAAUACAUGCAAGUCGAGCGAACAGACGAGGAGCUUGUUCCUCUGACGAUAUCCGCGGACGGGAGAGUCACACGUGGAUAACCCACCUAUAAGACUGGGCAAACUUCGAGAAACCAGCGCUAAUACCGGAUAAUAAAUUGAACCGCAUCGUUCAAUAAUAAAAUACAGUUUUGUUGUCACUUAUAGAUGCAUCCGCGCCGAAUUAGCUAGUUGGUAAGGUAACGGCUAACCAAGGCAACGAUUCGUAGCCGACCUGAGAGGUGGAUGGGCCACACUGGAACUGAGACACGGCCCAGACUCCUACGGGAGGAAGCAGUAGGGAAUCUUCCGCAAUGGGCGAAAGCCUGACGGGGCAACGCCGGGGGAGUGAGGAAGGUCUUCGGUUGGUAAAACUCUGUUAUUGGGGAAGAACAAAUUUGUAAGUAACUGUGCACGUCUUGACGGUACCUAAUCAGAAAGCCACGGCUAACUACGUG